GACGAACGCUGGCGGCGUGCUUAACACAUGCAAGUCGAGCGGUAAGGCCCUUUCGGGGGUACACGAGCGGCGAACGGGUGAGUAACACGUGGGUGACCUGCCCUUAGCUCUGGGAUAAGCCUGGGAAACUGGGUCUAAUACCGGAUAUGACUCCAUGACGCAUGUUGUGGGGUGGAAAGCCUUGUGCGGCUAGGGAUGGGCCCGCGGCCUAUCAGCCUGUUGGUGGGGUGAUGGCCACCAAGGCGACGACGGGUAGCCGGCCUGAGAGGGCGACCGGCCACACUGGGACUGAGACACGGCCCAGACUCCUACGGGAGGCAGCAGUGGGGAAUCUUGCGCAAUGGGCGAAAGCCUGACGCAGCGACGCCGCGUGGGGAUGACGGCC
RNAcentral lists this ribosomal RNA (385 nucleotides) under uncultured bacterium. RNAcentral describes it as "bacterial SSU rRNA". It matches the Rfam family "Bacterial small subunit ribosomal RNA", at positions 28 to 416 of the family's 1533-position model. The record is from RNAcentral.